Long non-coding RNA from Armigeres subalbatus, 551 nucleotides. RefSeq lists it as uncharacterized. NCBI's taxonomy places the organism in Eukaryota, Metazoa, Arthropoda, Insecta, Diptera, Culicidae. The record is from RefSeq and is a predicted model, not a curated record. The transcript is spliced from 2 exons.
UGUCAGAAAUUGAAAAAAAAAACAUUGUUAUUGUUAUUCUCUAGUACCAUAUUCGGUCUGAACUGGUUGUUCAAUAUUCCGGAUUUAUUUGUUACUUUCCCGGUUUUACGCCCUAUCGGUAAGAUUAAUACGAUAAGAAUCAACCUACGGAAGGGUUCUGUAUGUGUCGCAGCUACUAUAGGAAGGAAUAAACCAGAGAGUGCCUGGUUCACUUUGUGGCCUCACUAGUUCCCGUAUUUUGCCCAUUUGCCAAGUGAACUGCUUACUUAUCGCAUGAUUGAUGGAUCUCUCGAUAGAAGAGCGAAUAAGAAUAAUUUCGUCGACAAAUAUUGCAGAAUGCAAGCUUCAAAUCUACAACAGCGAACGAAUCAUCAGUUUACCGGUAUUGAACCAAUCGGAACCUGGAGGACAAUGUUGAAAAUAAAUGGAAACUGUGGAAGAAGACCAACUAAAGUGAACUAGUUUCUAAUGCAAAAUUUCCGAUAAAUUAUAUGAUGCAUACAAAAUAAAAUAUGGCCUAAUAAACAAUAAUUAUGGAAGUGAUUAACGAA